GUGGGAAAGAGGAAAGCUGAGGCUGCUCCUGUGGAAAGAGGUGCAAUGGGAGAGGGGGGCAGGAGGUCCCUUUUGAGGCAGGAGUGUGCCUGAGGUCUGGGACGAGGGGUUGGCUGACAUGACCAAAAAUGAAAAUGAUAAAUAUUGGAGGAGAUGCAGGAAGUUUGGGACACUAAUACACUAUUGGUGGAACUGCGAACUGAUACAACCAUUCCAGAGAGCGUAUGGAACCAAGCUCAAAGGGCCAGGAAACUAUGAUUAUCCUUUGACUCAGCAACACCACUACUAGCUUAGAGGGAUCUGGGAUUUCGCCUUCGUCCUUCUAGGGAGAGGAAGAGAAGACCCUCCAUCUCUCAGCCCUGGGCACUUUCUCGGACUGUCCCUCACGCUUGGAAUUCUCUCCCUCUGCCUUCCCUGCCUCCUGCCUCCUCUGGCUUUUUAGAAGUCCCAACCAAAAUCUCUUCUUGCACAGAAAGCCUUUCCCAUCCCCUCUUAAUUUUAGUGCCUUCCCAUUUACGCUGUCUAUAGCUUGUUUGUAUGUGCUUUUUGGGCUUAUUGUUCCUCCAUUAGACUGUGAGCAUCCUGAGGGCAAGGCCCCUCUUUUGCCUCUCUCUGGAUCCCUGAAGCUUGGCACACAGUCUAGCAUACUAAGAGGUCACUUCGGAAAUGCUUGUCAGCUGACUGACUACACACACGAGUCUGGGAGUGGAUAUCAAGUCCGUGGCUCUCUCUUCUACUUCCUUCUUCUCUCCCUGACCUGGGUCACUGGUCAGCCAUUGCUUUGGUCUUGGUGGCUGCAGCUUGAGCUGAACUGAUCGGUCUGCAGGUGAUUGCCGCUGCGCCACCCCUCUUGGAGGUAAGGAUGAUGGCACGCCUGCCUAGCCAGACAAUAUAGUCCUUGAGUGAGUUUCUGCCUGGCCAGUUCGGAUUUAGGUGGACGUGGCAUCUGCUCCACAUUUCCCACAGUCCCCUUUCCCUUCCUGGAGAGCAUCAUAGACAUAAUGGACUUCCACGAGUCCUUUAUGGGUUUUCUGUAUCUGUUUACUGGCAUCCAGGAGUCUUUUGUUGUGGAUUAUUGUUUUAUGUUUUCAGUAUUCAUUGAAUGGGUACAUAAGUGUUUUGUUUUAAGCAUUUCCUCUAUGUGUGUGUGUGUGCGUUGGAGGGAAAAUGCCUAGUCUCUGUCUCCUUGCUAUUCGUAAAGUGACUGAGUAACUUUCCCAGAGGGGGCCUCGCUGCUCUUUAGGGGGAUACAAGGCUCAUGAGCCCUACUUUCAGUUCUGUUUGAGAUCUCUUUCUUGGGUCUCCAUGCAGGUGAGCCAGAGCGCCUGGGAAAAGUCGAAUCUGCUCCUUUUUCCUACGAUUGAAACCAGUUCAUGUGAGUGAUGAACUGAUGCCCUUCAUGGGAAAAGAGUUCUGCUGUGGGGGGUGUGUG
Molecule: long non-coding RNA, 1432 nt
Organism: Monodelphis domestica (gray short-tailed opossum)
Lineage: Eukaryota; Metazoa; Chordata; Mammalia; Didelphimorphia; Didelphidae
Source: RefSeq, a predicted model, not a curated record